Molecule: ribosomal RNA, 580 nt
Filed under: uncultured archaeon
Lineage: Archaea
Description: bacterial SSU rRNA
Rfam family: Archaeal small subunit ribosomal RNA
Source: RNAcentral
UGAGCUAGGUGUUGCGUCACUACAUGUUGACGCAGUGUCGAAAUGAAGAUGUUAAGCUCACCGCCUGGGAAGUACGGUCGCAAGACUGAAACUUUAAGGAAUUGGCGGGGGAGCACCACAAGGGGUGCGGCGUGCGGUUUAAUCUAACUCAACGCAGAGAACCUUACUAGAAGCGACGGCAGGAUGAAAGUCAACUUGAAGAGUUUACUUGACGAGCCGAGAGGUGGUGCAUGGCCGCCGUCAGCUCGUGCUGUGAAGUGUCCAGCUAAGCCUGGCAACGAGCGAGACCUGUAUUCGCAAUUGCUAACAGCCACAUGUGGGACUGAGCACUUUGCGAAGACUGCCUUGGAAACAAGGAGGAAGGUGCAGGCUACGGUAGGUCUGUAUGCCCCGAAUCUUCUAGGCUACACGCGCGCAACAAUGGUUGGGACAAUGGGAUGCCACUCCGAAAGGAGAAGCUAAACCUCUAAACCCAAUCCAAGUCUAGAUUGAGGCUUGCAACUCAGCCUCAUGACAACGGAAUCCCUAGUAAUCAGAAGUCAUCAUCUUCUGGUGAAUAUGUCCCUGCUCCUUGCACACA